GUGUCAGCCGCCGCGGUAAUACCAGCUCUCCGAGUGGUAGGGAUGAUUAUUGGGCUUAAAGCGUGCGUAGCCGGCUUGACAAGUCUUCUGUUAAAUCCAGCAACCCAAUUGUUGGACUGCGGGAGAUACUGUCUAGCUAGAGAACGGGAGAAGCCGACGGUACUCUCAGGGUAGGAGUGAAAUCCUAUAAUCCUGGGAGGACCACCAGUGGCGUAGGCUGUCGGCUAGAACGUGUCUGACGGUGAGGAACGAAAGCUUGGGGAGCGAACCGGAUUAGAUACCCGGGUAGUCCAAGCUGUAAACGAUGCGGGCUAGGUGUUGGGGUGGCUACGUGCCACUUCAGUGCCGCAGGGAAGCUGUUAAGCCUGCCGCCUGGGGAGUACGGUCGCAAGGCUGAAACUUAAAGGAAUUGACGGGG
RNAcentral lists this ribosomal RNA (418 nucleotides) under uncultured prokaryote. RNAcentral's name for it is "bacterial SSU rRNA". It matches the Rfam family "Archaeal small subunit ribosomal RNA", at positions 455 to 873 of the family's 1478-position model. The record is from RNAcentral.